UUUAAUCAAUAGUUCUAAUGCAAAAAAAAUAGCAUUAAUGUUAAAGAAAGCUGCAAUGUAGUCAAUAACCUGUGGUGAGUCAGUAGCCUGUUCACUAAGCUGUACCUGAACCAUUCAGUAUGUUAAAAUUAAUGCAUAAGCUAAAAUUAGCCAAAAUGCUAAUAGUAGCCUAAAUGCUGGCAGUGGCAUGUGCAACAUCACUAACAUGUUGUUUUAAUUUGACUUGUUCCAUUCAGUAUACUAAACAUGUGUAAUUAAUAAGAAAAUUAGCUAAUAGCUAACAUUAGGUAAAAGACUAAUGCUAAUGCAGCAAAUGCUAAUGUUUGUGCUAAUGUUAAUAAACUCCCUUGCUGCACAAUGCCUUUACCUUAAUUAACAGGACAGGAGACCAACGGGACUCGUUACGAAGCCCUGGAAGAAGGUCGGGAGAACAACAGAACUCUCUAUGAAGCCCUGGAGGUCAACUUGGAGACCACCGGGACUUGCUAUGAAUCCCUGGAGGCAGGCCGGGAGACUGACAGGACUUGCUACCAAACCACGGAAGCAGGCCGGGAGACCAACAGGACUCACGAUGAACCCUAGAGGUCAGCCUGGAGACCAACAGGACUCGCUAUGAACCCUAGAGGUCAGGUCGGAGACCAACAGGAAUCGCCAUCAACCCUAGAGGUCAUCCCGGAGACCAACAGGACUCGCCAUCAACCCUAGAGGUCAGCCCGGAGACCAACAGGACUCGCCAUCAACCCUAGAGGUCAGCCCGGAGACCAACAGGUCUCGCUACCAAGCCAUGGAAGCAGGCCAGGAGACCAACAGGACUCACGAUGAACCCUAGAGGUCAGCCCAGCGACCAACAGGACUCGCUACCAAAGCCAUGGAAGCAGGCCGGGAGACCAUCAGGACUCGCUAUGACCCCUAGAGGUCAGCCAGGAGACCAACAGGACUCUAGUAGGCUGAUUUUUUUUUAAUUAUUUUUGUUUUAUUAUUUUUUUUAUUUUCUAAAUUUAGACAGGAAGUAAUGUGGGUCAGUCCACUUUCUAUAAGUGCAAGGGCCUGGUGAAGGACAAGCAGGCAUUUGGUUUGGGACCGAUGGUUUUUAAGAGUGGUAGCAUGAGAACAAAUGAAAGUUUGAUCUCUGUAAUUGUUUGGUGAAAGAGGAAAUAAAUCACCAAGAACAAUCAAUAAGCUUGGACAUUGAACCUUCUUUUGCCUGUGUCUAGAAACAUGACCCUAGUGCCCUAGUAGUGGCUUGGUGGAACUUUUAUUGGAUGUUUGGCUGUCAGAAGUGGU
Non-coding RNA from Poecilia reticulata (guppy), 1284 nucleotides. The record is from RefSeq and is a predicted model, not a curated record. Lineage: Eukaryota; Metazoa; Chordata; Actinopteri; Cyprinodontiformes; Poeciliidae.